AACGAACGCUGGCGGCGUGCCUAACACAUGCAAGUCGUGCGAGAAAGUUCCUUCGGGAGCGAGUAAAGCGGCGCACGGGUGAGUAACACGUAGGUAACCUGCCCCCCAGUCUGGAACAACUAGAGGAAACUCUAGCUAAUGCCGGAUGAGACCACGAUCCCUUCGGGGGUUGCGGCCAAAGAUGGCCUCUACUUGUAAGCUAUCGCUGAGGGAUGGGCCUGCGGGCCAUUAGCUUGUUGGUGAGGUAACGGCUCACCAAGGCUGUGAUGGCUAGCUGGUCUGAGAGGAUGACCAGCCACACUGGGACUGAGACACGGCCCAGACUCCUACGGAGGCAGCAGUGGGAAUAUUGCGCAAUGGGCGAAAGCCUGAUGCAGCGACGCCGCGUGGGUGAUGAAGGCC
Molecule: ribosomal RNA, 402 nt
Filed under: uncultured bacterium
Lineage: Bacteria
Description: bacterial SSU rRNA
Rfam family: Bacterial small subunit ribosomal RNA
Source: RNAcentral